AUGAGAACGCUCCGUUACCACGAAGAUACACGCGACAGCACACAGCGCACGCGGAGCUGGAAGAGACUGCACGACACGGAAUCGGAACACGGCAGGAACCGGAACACGCAGGAGUCGCUGGACGAGCCGAGCGAGCGCGCGGGACUCGAAGACGCUGGGCAAGAGACUAAGCGGCCAGGUGCUCGACCACACAGCGCAAAAGAAAUUCAGAAUCUCAAGGAACUGUGCUUUUCCUAUCACAUCGGCAGGAAUUCAACAACGACAAUGUACUCGGUGCGUUCAAGGAACGGUGGAAGCUGCAUCUUCUUUCUCUGCUGGUGCAUAGCUAGGCUUAAAACAAUCUGAGAAGUAUCCCUGACCCUCUGGGAUUACCAAGAAAUUCAACAGAGAGAAACAUAAGUGAACCACAAAGAAGUUCAAAGAAUGUGAAUUUCCAAGAAAUUAAAAGAAUUUAUUAGUGAACCUUACCAUUCACGUGCGUGAACUUAAAGACACUUUGUUAUUUCCAACAAAUGCAUGUUAUAUUUCUGCACAUAUGUAACUUGGAUAUCAGCUCUCUGGCUAUCUCAAAUCUUUUACUAUAAUGAGGAGAACCUUUUUAGUAACAUUUGAAUUCAAAAACCCCAAAAGUUCACCCUAAACACACUGAGAUCUGGAGAGCUUACAUUUUUCCUCAUCCUUUCGUACUCAAAUUCCCAUCUUUAUCUAAACCAUUCAUCUCUCUUCUAGGCCUUGCUCUUUAACCCCUAAAUGCUACCUCUACGGAAUGUGAGCCGCAAUUGAAAGUUUAUGUGCAAUACAAGACUUAAAUUGAGUUACCUCAUGGCAGAUAAGUUUAAAUGUUAUAUGUAGACAUUGCAGCUUCAGACAUUUCCCUGAAAAUAUUCACCUCCUUAGAAAAUUUUCAUGGGCUCUUUCUCUUCUCUGGGCCACUAUGAACCCUGGCUCUUUUCUUCUCCCCAAAGGGUCCCCCAGAAAAGAGGUAAAUGAUUUAUAUUUUAGCAUUAAUGAGAAUAACAAUUUACUAUAAUUUGAAAUGAAGAUUACAGGCAGGAAGAAAGUGCAGUUUAAGUAUUAACUUGAUUCUUCUCUCCCAAAAGAUGGUAAUGGGGAGAUGAGAGCCUAAAGGAACAUAUGGUCGUCUUUGCCUUCCGAAGCUUAUGGAUGAGCUAAGAGUGUAAAGCCACUAAG
Molecule: long non-coding RNA, 1191 nt
Filed under: Felis catus (domestic cat)
Lineage: Eukaryota; Metazoa; Chordata; Mammalia; Carnivora; Felidae
Description: lncRNA (ENSFCAG00000041202.2)
Source: RNAcentral